Molecule: long non-coding RNA, 696 nt
Filed under: Olea europaea subsp. europaea
Lineage: Eukaryota; Viridiplantae; Streptophyta; Magnoliopsida; Lamiales; Oleaceae
Source: RNAcentral
UUUCAUGGGUCCAUUUCCACUUUCCUUUGGUCAAGAGUAUAUUCUUCUCGCAGUAGAUUAUGUGUCUAAGUGGGUUGAAGCCAUUGCCACACCAACAAAUGAUGCAAAGGUGGUGUUGAAAUUUUUACAGAAAAACAUCUUCACUCGGUUUGGCACGCCUAGAGCAAUCGUAAGCGACGGAGGUACACACUUCUGUAACAAGCUGUUCAAUUCUCUUCUAGCUAAGUAUGAUGUCAAGCACAAGUUGGCAUUGGGUUAUCGUCCACAUUCAAAUGGGCAAGCAAAGGUGUCUAACAGAGAGAUUAAACAGAUUCUGGAAAAGACAGUGAAUACCAAUCGGAAGGACUGGUCUCUCAAACUAGAUGACGCUCUUUGGGCAUACCGAACAGCAUUUAAAACUCCAAUUGGAAUGUCACCCUACCGUCUGGUAUUUGGGAAAGCUUGUCAUCUACCGGUAGAAUUGGAGCAUCGAGCUUAUUGGGCUGUGAAGAAAUUGAAUUUAGACAUGAAAUUGGCCGGUCCAUAACGCUUGUUGCAACUUGAUGAGUUGGAGGAAUUCCGGAACGAUGCAUAUGAAAAUGCAAAGAUAUAUAAAGAACGAACAAAGAUGUGGCAUGACAAGAGAAUACUAAGGAGGGAUUUCAAGGCAGGAGAACCAGUUCUUCUAUUCAAUUCUCGCUUGAAACUCUUUCCAGG